AGUGAACGCUGGCGGUAGGCCUAACACAUGCAAGUCGAACGGCAGCACAGUAAGAGCUUGCUCUUACGGGUGGCGAGUGGCGGACGGGUGAGGAAUACAUCGGAAUCUACUUUUUCGUGGGGGAUAACGUAGGGAAACUUACGCUAAUACCGCAUACGACCUACGGGUGAAAGCAGGGGAUCUUCGGACCUUGCGCGAUUGAAUGAGCCGAUGUCGGAUUAGCUAGUUGGCGGGGUAAAGGCCCACCAAGGCGACGAUCCGUAGCUGGUCUGAGAGGAUGAUCAGCCACUCUGGAACUGAGACACGGCCCAGACUCCUACGGGAGGCAGCAGUGGGGAAUCUUGGACAAUGGGCGCAAGCCUGAUCCAGCCAUACCGCGUGGGUGAAGAAGGCCUUCGGGUUGUAAAGCCCUUUUGUUGGGAAAGAAAAGCAGCAGGUUAAUACCCCGCUGUCCUGACGUUCCCCAAAGAAUAAGCACCGCCUACCUUCGU
RNAcentral lists this ribosomal RNA (491 nucleotides) under uncultured bacterium. Its description in RNAcentral is "partial 16S ribosomal RNA". It matches the Rfam family "Bacterial small subunit ribosomal RNA", at positions 29 to 506 of the family's 1533-position model. The record is from RNAcentral.